CCUACGGGAGGCUGCAGUGAGGAAUAUUGGUCAAUGGACGAGAGUCUGAACCAGCCAAGUAGCGUGAAGGAUGAAGGUUCUAUGGAUUGUAAACUUCUUUUAUACGGGAAUAAACGGAUCCACGUGUGGAUUUUUGCAUGUACCGUAUGAAUAAGGAUCGGCUAACUCCGUGCCAGCAGCCGCGGUAAUACGGAGGAUCCGAGCGUUAUCCGGAUUUAUUGGGUUUAAAGGGAGCGUAGAUGGAUGUUUAAGUCAGUUGUGAAAGUUUGCGGCUCAACCGUAAAAUUGCAGUUGAUACUGGAUAUCUUGAGUGCAGUUGAGGCAGGCGGAAUUCGUGGUAUAGCGGUGAAAUGCUUAGAUAUCACGAAGAACUCCGAUUGCGAAGGCAGCCUGCUAAGCUGCAACUGACAUUGAGGCUCGAAAG
RNAcentral lists this ribosomal RNA (424 nucleotides) under uncultured Ruminococcus sp. Its description in RNAcentral is "bacterial SSU rRNA". It matches the Rfam family "Bacterial small subunit ribosomal RNA", at positions 338 to 759 of the family's 1533-position model. The record is from RNAcentral. Lineage: Bacteria; Bacillati; Bacillota; Clostridia; Eubacteriales; Oscillospiraceae.